This 83-nucleotide transfer RNA is filed under the name Cryptococcus deneoformans B-3501A. RNAcentral's name for it is "tRNA-Ser". It matches the Rfam family "tRNA". Rfam says of the family: Transfer RNA (tRNA) molecules are approximately 80 nucleotides in length. Their secondary structure includes four short double-helical elements and three loops (D, anti-codon, and T loops). Lineage: Eukaryota; Fungi; Basidiomycota; Tremellomycetes; Tremellales; Cryptococcaceae. The record is from RNAcentral.
AGAGCGAUCGGAUAGUGGUUAUUCCGCCACAUUGCUAUUAUGUGGUGCCUUCGGGCUCGGGAGUUCGAAUCUCCCUCGUUCUG